RNAcentral lists this ribosomal RNA (207 nucleotides) under uncultured bacterium. RNAcentral describes it as "partial 16S ribosomal RNA". It matches the Rfam family "Bacterial small subunit ribosomal RNA", at positions 568 to 774 of the family's 1533-position model. The record is from RNAcentral.
CGCGUAGGCGGACCUUCAAGUCGGGUGUGAAAACCGGCGGCUUAACUGCCGGCCUGCAUUCGAUACUGUAGGUCUUGAGUACAUGAGAGGAAGGCGGAAUUCCAGGUGUAGCGGUGAAAUGCGUAGAUAUCUGGAAGAACACCAGUAGCGAAGGCGGCCUUCUGGCGUGAUACUGACGCUGAAGCGCGAAGGCUAGGGGAGCAAACA